This 333-nucleotide unclassified non-coding RNA is filed under the name uncultured Archaeosporaceae. Its description in RNAcentral is "sequence contains 18S rRNA gene". RNAcentral also lists the same sequence under 1 other name. The record is from RNAcentral. Lineage: Eukaryota; Fungi; Glomeromycota; Glomeromycetes; Archaeosporales; Archaeosporaceae.
CCCAACUAUCCCUAUUAAUCAUUACAACGGUCCUAGAAACCAACAAAAUAGAAACGUUGUCCUAUUCUAUUAUUCCAUGCUAAUGUAUUCCGGCAUAAGCCUGCUUUAAACACUCUAAUUUUUUCAAGGUAAAGGUCUUGGCUACUCGCAACACCCAAUAAAGGGCAUUACGCAUGACCAAGCGAUGAGGCCCGACCGCCCAGUACUCGUUACAAGAACGGACCAAACGGCCGAACCCAAAAUUCAACUACGAGCUUUUUAACUGCAACAACUUUAAUAUACGCUAUUGGAGCUGGAAUUACCGCGGCUGCUGGCACCAGACUUGCCCUCCAA